GUCUGUGGUCAAGCUACCCUGAACAAGCCCGAUCCCGUCUGAUCUCAGAAGCUAAGCAGAUUCGGGCCUGGUUAGUACUUGAAUGGGAGACCACCUAGGAAGACCAGGUGCUGUAGGUG
RNAcentral lists this ribosomal RNA (119 nucleotides) under Pteropus alecto (black flying fox). The record is from RNAcentral. Lineage: Eukaryota; Metazoa; Chordata; Mammalia; Chiroptera; Pteropodidae.